GAGAUAACGACAAGAAUGAUAACACUAGCCAAGAUUUUAGGACUACAUGUGGUGAUGGUAGCAUAGGCAUGGGACACAGGCAAUCAUACAGGUCACUGAGCCCAUUUACUUGUAAGACCAAUUGGUAACUAAAUCCAAAAUUCUGAUCUGUGUCAAGGCAUGGUUUGCCGAACCAAGCAGUACUGAUACGUACCGACCAUACCGUACCAUACUAAUACAUGGUACGAGAGGCAUACUGAGUGUCGAUACGCCAAACCAGCCUCCGUACUAGGUGUACUGAUAUAGUAAUAGGAUGGCAUCAGUACAGGACCCGGUACUGAGAUGGCGAAUCUUGAUCAAAGGUAACUUAGUUUUAAGAGAUCAUAUCUAAGGAGGAGCAAUGGCAAGGGAAACAGGGGGCCUACAAACAGCCAUAAGGGGCACAAAUUCCAGAUGGGGACAUCGAGAGGGUAUGGAUGCUAUCACAGAAAAAAGUUAGCUCAAUGGGGUAGUCCAGUGUUGAUAAUCAAUAUCCGUAGCAGAAUGCAUCAUCGACAUCCAUUCUAUAAUCCAUGACACAUUUAACUUGUGGUCAUAAAAUGAGGGAUCUCUUGUGAUGACUCAAGUCCCGACGGGAUGUUCCAUAGGACACCGACAUGGGGUACCAUCCCGAGUGUUGGGAUAGNNNNNNNNNNNNNNNNNNNNAAAACCAAUGGUGUUAGGUUGUGGUUGGUGAGCCUUUGGGAAAACCAACUGGGUUGAUUGUGAACCCGGAAAACAAUCGUUGUAAGGUUGUGGUUGGUGAGCCUGUGGGGAAAACCAACUGGGUUUGAUUGUGAACCCGGAAAAACAAUCGGUUGGUUCUAGUCGGUGAGCCUGUGAAUACCGACCGAGUUCGUUGUUAUCUCGCAAAACAACAAGUUGGGUUGUGAGCUUGUAAAACAACCGGCUGUAAUCUGUAGGAUUAUAGUGAAAUUUCCAAGAGGUCUUGGGGAGUGGAUGUAGGUGCUGGGGUGCACCGAACCACUAUAUGUUUGUUGUGUUUGUAAUGCCUCUUGUCAUUGUCUAACUUACUCACUUACUUAGAUAAAUUGCUUGCUUAACUCUUAUCCGCGCAUCCUUUAGUUGCAAGCAUAUUCAAUCAAGUCACAUUCUAUACAUCAAACUGUUGCUAAGUUUAAAUUUCACUGUGCAUCUAUACAACUCAGCAUAAUUAAUUGAAAAGUUUUAGAAGUAGUCUAAAAGUUUUAAAAGACCCAAUUCACCCCCCCUCUUGGGUUGUAUCUACUGGGCAACAAAAUAUAAGAUAUACUCAAAUGCUUUGAGCUCAUCAAAAUCAAAUAGGGUUUCAAUCAAUCACUCCACAAUCUCCCCCUUUUUGAUGAUGACAAAACUUUGAGUAUACGUAAAGUGAAUUGCUCAAUAAACAACGAAAUAAAAUCCAUAAAUGAAUUCAAAUGUCUGGUAAUUUAAUAUAUCCAAGCUUGAAAGGUGUGAAGCAAUAAAUUUUGGAAUUAAAGCUCCCCCUUUCAUUUGGAAUAAUAUAAGCCUUCAUAUCAUGCAAUCAAUUGUUUGGCUUAUAUAUAUUUAAUGAUUUAGCUUUCUUAAAAACAUUCAGAUUCUCCCCCUCAACAUAUGCAUUCUACUUAUGAUUUGAUUCUCUGAAUUUUCU
Molecule: long non-coding RNA, 1651 nt
Filed under: Phoenix dactylifera (date palm)
Lineage: Eukaryota; Viridiplantae; Streptophyta; Magnoliopsida; Arecales; Arecaceae
Description: long non-coding RNA (PDAC_LNC009280)
Source: RNAcentral